AACGAACGCUGGCGGCAUGCCUAACACAUGCAAGUCGAACGAGACCUUCGGGUCUAGUGGCGCACGGGUGCGUAACGCGUGGGAACCUGCCCUUAGGUUCGGCAUAACUCCCCGACAGGGGUGCUAAUACCGGAUAAUGUCUUCUGACCAAAGAUUUAUCGCCUUUGGUUGGGCCCGCGUUGGAUUAGCUAGUUGUUAGGGUAAAAGCCUACCAAGGCGACGAUCCAUAGCUGGUCUGAGAGGAUGAUCAGCCACACUGGGACUGAGACACGGCCCAGAAUCCUACGGGAGGGAGGAGUGGGGAAUAGUGGAAAAUGGGCGAAAGGCUGAUGCAGCAAUGCCGCGUGAGUGAUGAAGGCCUUAGGGUUGUAAAGCGCUUUUAACCGGGAUGAUAAUGACAGUACCGGGAGAAUAAGCCCCGGCUAACUCCGUG
This 433-nucleotide ribosomal RNA is filed under the name uncultured bacterium. RNAcentral's name for it is "partial 16S ribosomal RNA". It matches the Rfam family "Bacterial small subunit ribosomal RNA", at positions 29 to 507 of the family's 1533-position model. The record is from RNAcentral.